UACAGAGGUCCCGAGCGUUGUUCGGAUUCACUGGGCGUAAAGGGCGCGCAGGUGGGUUGGCAAGUUUGACGUGAAAGCCCCGGGCUUAACCCGGGAAUGGCGUUGAAAACUGCUGAUCUGGAGGAUCGGAGGGGGGACUGGAAUUCUUGGUGUAGCAGUGAAAUGCGUAGAUAUCAAGAGGAACACCAGUGGCGAAGGCGAGUCCCUGGACGAUACCUGACACUGAGGCACGAAAGCCAAGGGAGCAAACAGG
Molecule: ribosomal RNA, 253 nt
Filed under: uncultured bacterium
Lineage: Bacteria
Description: partial 16S ribosomal RNA
Rfam family: Bacterial small subunit ribosomal RNA
Source: RNAcentral